Unclassified non-coding RNA from Colobus angolensis palliatus, 295 nucleotides. It matches the Rfam family "Metazoan signal recognition particle RNA". Rfam says of the family: The signal recognition particle (SRP) is a universally conserved ribonucleoprotein. It is involved in the co-translational targeting of proteins to membranes. The record is from Ensembl. Lineage: Eukaryota; Metazoa; Chordata; Mammalia; Primates; Cercopithecidae.
GCCAGGUGAGAUGAUGUGAGCCUGUAGUCCCAGCUACUUGGGAGGCUGAAGCAGGAGGAUUGCUUGAGGCCCAUCCUAGGCUGUAGUGCGCUAUGCAGAUCGGGCGUCCACACUAAGUUCAGCAUCAAUAUAGUGACCUCCCAAGAGUGGGGGACCACCAGGUUGCCUAAGGUGGGGUGAACCAGCCCAGGGUGGAAAUGGAGGAGGUCAAAACUCCCAUGCUGAUCAGUAGUGGGAUCACGCCUGUGAAUAGCCACUGCACUCCCGCCUGGGCAACAUAGAAAGACCCCGUCUC